CUGAAAUGAAGAGUAAAUGUUUACUAAUUAUAUAAUAAUGUAUAAUCAUUUAUGAUGUGGUAAAUUAAAAUUAAAUGCUAAUUACUACAUUACACAAGUCCUAUAAAAGGCAACACACCAAACGCGUUUCCAUCAAAGAAUUUGCAGAAAUGAAACUCUUAGCAAUUUUUGUGACUUUGUGCGCCAUUUGCAGCGUUUAUUCUAAAAGGCCAACUAAGCCUCAUUCUGUGAUAGCGAGAGAAGGUAUUGUUCAUAGUCCUUCAAAACUGACCAAGAAAGGAGCCUAGUUCAACCGAUUUAUUCCUUGAAUGAAUAAACUGAAAAUGUAAAUGAGAAAAAAA
Long non-coding RNA from Drosophila sulfurigaster albostrigata, 341 nucleotides. RefSeq lists it as uncharacterized. The transcript has 2 exons. The record is from RefSeq and is a predicted model, not a curated record. NCBI's taxonomy places the organism in Eukaryota, Metazoa, Arthropoda, Insecta, Diptera, Drosophilidae.